CCUACGGGAGGCAGAAGUGGGGAAUAUUGCACAAUGGGCGCAAGCCUGAUGCAGCCAUGCCGCGUGUUUGAAGAACGCCUUCGGGUUGUAAAGUACUUUCAGUCGUGUGGUAGGUGUUAAGGUUAAUAACCUUAGCAAUUGACGUUAGCGACAGAAGAAGCACCGGCUAACUCCGUGCCAGCAGCCGCGGUAAUACGGAGGGUGCGAGCGUUAAUCGGAAUUACUGGGCGUAAAGGGCACGCAGGCGGUUAAUGAAGUGGGAGGUGAAAUGCGGGGGCGUAAGCUGGGAAUGGGAAUGAAGACUGGUUAGAUAGAGUCAUGUAGAGGGGGGUAGAAUUCCAUGUGUAGCGGUGAAAUGCGUAGAGAUGAGGAGGAAAAACGGGGGCGAAGGCGGCCACCUGGAGAAAGAGGGACGCUCAUGUGCGAAAGCGUGGGGAGCAAACAGGAUUAGAUACCCGGGUAGUC
This 465-nucleotide ribosomal RNA is filed under the name uncultured Arsenophonus sp. RNAcentral describes it as "bacterial SSU rRNA". It matches the Rfam family "Bacterial small subunit ribosomal RNA", at positions 338 to 795 of the family's 1533-position model. Lineage: Bacteria; Pseudomonadati; Pseudomonadota; Gammaproteobacteria; Enterobacterales; Morganellaceae. The record is from RNAcentral.